GGCGAGUGGCGAACGGGUGAGUAAUACAUCGGAACGUGUCCUGGAGUGGGGGAUAGCCCGGCGAAAGCCGGAUUAAUACCGCAUACGAUCUCUGGAUGAAAGCGGGGGACCGAAAGGCCUCGCGCUCAAGGGGCGGCCGAUGGCAGAUUAGCUAGUUGGUGGGGUAAAGGCCUACCAAGGCGACGAUCUGUAGCUGGUCUGAGAGGACGACCAGCCACACUGGGACUGAGACACGGCCCAGACUCCUACGGGAGGCAGCAGUGGGGAAUUUUGGACAAUGGGGGCAACCCUGAUCCAGCAAUGCCGCGUGUGUGAAGAAGGCCUUCGGGUUGUAAAGCACUUUUGUCCGGAAAGAAAACCGCUUCUCUAAUACAGAGGUGGGAUGACGGUACCGGAAGAAUAAGCACCGGCUAACUACGUGCCAGCAGCCGCGGUAAUACGUAGGGUGCGAGCGUUAAUCGGAAUUACUGGGCGUAAAGCGUGCGCAGGCGGUUCGCUAAGACCGAUGUGAAAUCCCCGGGCUUAACCUGGGAACUGCAUUGGUGACUGGCGGGCUANAGUAUGGCAGAGGGGGGUAGAAUCCACGUGUAGCAGUGAAAUGCGUAGAGAUGUGGAGGAAUACCGAUGGCGA
This 631-nucleotide ribosomal RNA is filed under the name Burkholderia sp. Cs133. RNAcentral describes it as "bacterial SSU rRNA". It matches the Rfam family "Bacterial small subunit ribosomal RNA", at positions 90 to 718 of the family's 1533-position model. Lineage: Bacteria; Pseudomonadati; Pseudomonadota; Betaproteobacteria; Burkholderiales; Burkholderiaceae. The record is from RNAcentral.